GACAGAGGGUGCAAACGUUGCUCGGAAUUACUGGGCGUAAAGCGCGUGUAGGCGGACGUGUAAGUCAGGUGUGAAAUCCCCGGGCUCAACCCGGGAACUGCACUUGAAACUGCGCGUCUUUGAGUACUGGGAGAGGGUAGUGGAAUUCCUGGUGUAGAGGUGAAAUUCGUAGAUAUCAGGAGGAACACCGGGUGGCGAAGGCGGCGGAGUCUGGGAAGAUACUGACGCUGAGGUGCGAAAGCGUGGGGGAGCAAACAGG
This 259-nucleotide ribosomal RNA is filed under the name uncultured bacterium. RNAcentral describes it as "partial 16S ribosomal RNA". It matches the Rfam family "Bacterial small subunit ribosomal RNA", at positions 524 to 776 of the family's 1533-position model. The record is from RNAcentral.